AGAAGAGGAAGGAUGUUAGAACUGGAAGUGGGCUGGAAUUAGACGAUCUUUAAGGGCUCUUCUAACUCAAAUCAUCCUGGGAUUGAUUCCAUGAUGCCUUGGACAGAAAAGCCUCAACCCUGUAACCUUCUGCUCACCCACCUAGAUGCCUAAAUCUCAGCUGUUAACAAACUUCUGCUUUCCAGCUGGUACCUCCACAGUCCACCCACUUCCUCCUGAAAGGAUUGUGAAGGCCCAUUCCCAAAACAUCUCAGUGAUAUAAGGUGAAAAUGCCAAAGUGUUCAUCCUUCUUCUAUGGCUGGUCCCCAGAGGGAAAAAUAUUCCACUCCUUGACUUACCACCAUGAUAACUCCAAAGAACCCCAUUUUCUGCCUUUAUUGAGAAAAUUUGAAAAUCAACAUGCAAAGGAAGCACAGACCUCUAAGCAGUUAUUUUGACCCAAUGUGGUAUGAUGGGAGGAGAUCAGAAAUGGGGCUGUGUUUUCCUCAGCGAGUCCAUUUUGAUGGCAGACCUGAGAGCUGAAAGCAACUUUUCAAAAUGGCAAGUGAGGUGCUCUACGCCGUGGUGUCACCCAAGGAAAGAGUGAAUUUUGUUUCAGAAGCUUCAGACACAGGUGAUGCAGUCACAUAUGCUGAGGUGAAUAUGAAAUGGACAUCUGAUAGCCCUGACAGCACACCCAAAAUUACACGUUCAGUGCCCUGCUCGGAGAGCUCCCUCUGGUUCUACCUUGUCUUCGCCCUGCUCUUCUGUUCGGUGGUUCUGCUCAUCACGGUCAUCCUGCUGGCGGUGAAAUGCUACAGCCGCUGACCCUGCUGCCACAGCGGAUAAGUCAGCACGGGAAGGUUCUGAUUCUUCUAUGGAACAGGACACAGUGGCUGUUUUAUUUGACAUUAUUUUGGCUGAAGAGACAAAAUGAAGACGUGUCAUCAGUCUGAUCACUCUCCAGUUAUGUCAUCCCAGAUCUCUGUAAAACUUCUAAUCUCUCCAUAUGUGGACAAGCAUAUAUUAAUUUUAUUUGGAAUUUUCUUAAUCCUGUAAUACCAACAACCAUCCAGCUAUAUCAGUGCAUGUAUCAAGACAUGGGCUCAAGCUCCUGCAUCAAAAGGUGGAUUUGGGCCUUAUUUAGACAACAAAAAUGACCAGGUGGACAAAUACUUUUAAUUCACAUCUGACUUGAUUCUGCACUGAUGUGCAACACAGAAAAGCUUUUGGAUUGCAUGCAACUGCAAAAACUCACAGACAAAACAGGGAAUGUGAAACGUUGCAAUGAGCUUUUUUUAUAAAGCCUGGGCUUGGACUUGAUUUUUCUUCUUCUGACAGCCUUUAGUUGGAUUUGUAUGAAAAGGAUAUUGAAUGUUCAAGAAAUGUUGUUAGUAGAGAAGUCUCAGUUUCACCUUCUCAUUGGCUUGAAUUAAAUUGUUCUGUUCCAGUUGUCCAGAAGAGCAUCUCACAAUAUAUUGUUUCUGUCUUGGGGCAGUAAUUGAUUUUUGUAUUUGUUUGGGUUUGGUUUUUCCCCACAUGCCAUAGCUUCAGUUAAAACUGAGUCCUCCACUGGAACUGAGGCAUUGAAGUUCAAAUACAUUUAUUUGUAAUUAUGACCUUAUUGUCUGUUUUCAUAUUAUUUCUGGAUCUUAUCCAUUUUAACUUCUUUGUGGCAGGCUGCAGAAGAUUUGCAGACUCUGACUAGGAGGAGUCUAUAUAGCAAAUAUUUCUGGAAUAUUUCUUGUAUCUAAUCUUACCUGUAAUUUAGCUGUUGCUGCAGUUGGCAAUGUACCCUAUCUUAUCUUAAUAAUACAUAAAUGCACAGAAGUCAAUAAAGG
This is a long non-coding RNA of Zonotrichia albicollis (white-throated sparrow), 1820 nucleotides long. NCBI's taxonomy places the organism in Eukaryota, Metazoa, Chordata, Aves, Passeriformes, Passerellidae. The record is from Ensembl.